GAUGAAGAACGUAGCGAAAUGCGAUACUUGGUGUGAAUUGCAGAAUCCCGUGAACCAUCGAGUCUUUGAACACAAGUUGCGCCCGAAGCCAUUAGGCCGAGGGCACGCCUGCCUGGGCGUCACACGUCGUUGCCCCCCCAUCUACUCCUUCGGGAUUGCGGGGGGCGGAUGAUGGCCUCUCGUGCGCCUCGUCGCGCGGUUGGCCUAAAUGCCAAGUCCUCGGCGACGCACGCCACGACAAUCGGUGGUUGCGAAACCUCGGUUGCCUGUCGUGUGCGGUCGUCGCGCAUCGAGGGCUCGAAAAAAUUGCCGGGCUUCGGCUCGACUUUCAACGCGACCCCAGGUCAGGCGGGGUUACCCGCUGAAUUUAAGCAUAUCAAUAAGCGGAGGA
This 391-nucleotide unclassified non-coding RNA is filed under the name soil metagenome. RNAcentral describes it as "partial contains 5.8S ribosomal RNA, internal transcribed spacer 2, and large subunit ribosomal RNA". The stretch from base 1 to 122 matches the Rfam family "5.8S ribosomal RNA", at positions 35 to 154 of the family's 154-position model. The record is from RNAcentral.